UCGACCUCAGCGAGGAACACACGUGGGAAAAGCUUACUGCGCAUGCGCGGAUAUGGGCUGCAGCAGUGGGCACAGGGCAGCAGCAGUGACUAGACAAGCGCUUUAUCGACACAAGCAGAGUACAGGUGCCGAAUAACCCAGCAAAAUGCUCUUUUAAACAAUCACACGUCUCAUCCCGAAGCCAGAGAUGUGAUGAGGAGUGAGAGUCCAAUGUUGCAUUAGUCUCAUUGUGAUAUGCUGGCCUGUCUGCCGGUAUCAAACCCCUCCCUCCAGCUUCUCUCGCACACGCAGAUGAACACUGGACUUCAGAAAUGGGACACUACACAGAGGAUGAGAUCAGCACACUAUCCUACCCCAGCGGAUUUGGAUGCCUAUGCUAAGAAAGUUGCCAAUAACCCACUGACUAUAAAAAUCUUCCCCAAUAGUGUCAAAGUACCUCAGAGGAAGCAUAUUCGCCGCACCGUCAACGGUCUCGACACCUCCAGCCAGCGCUACAGCCCCUACCCACCUCAGGUCAACACCCGGACGGGCCUCUUGGCCAUCGUCAAAGUCCCUGUCAAAGGGAUCCUCAAGGACAUCGAAGGCGGCCGAGCCCGUUUUCUCCCUAAGCUCAUCAUGAACCCGCACAGUGGGCUUUACGCCAAUCCCAGCACUUUAAAUGUUCCUCACACUGUUCCACACCUUCAGACUCCUUUAGGCCAGAAGAGUCUCGCUCACUCUCAGGCCUUGCAGGCCCAUCCGCAGUCCCUGCAGCAGAAGAGCAGUUUACAACCACAGCAGAGCCUGGCCCACCAGGAGGCUUUACAUCAGAGCCAGGCUCACCAACCGCCAGUACCGCACCACACCCUAAACCACCAACAGACUCUCAUGCAGCAGCAGCCACAAUUGCCUGGUCCGCAAGGACUCCGGCAUCUGCCCGAUAUGGCGCAGUCGGUGCACCUGCAGCACUCCCAGGGCUUCUCUCAAUCCCAGCCCAUGCCACAGGCCUCUUGCGCCGGCCCUCCGGCCCCCGGGGUCUUACAGCCCCCCCUGGCAGGCUUGCAGAUGCCACGCAAGCUGCCCGACGCCGAUGCCCCUCCCAAUGUGACUGUGUCUACCUCAACCAUCCCGCUUUCCAUGGCUGCCAGCCUGCACCAGAACCGGCCCAGUGACCUGAGCAGCAUCGUCAAUCAGAUCAACCAGUUCUGCCAGGCUCGGGCCGGCAUGGGCUCUACCUCCAUGUGUGAAGGACAGAUCGCCAACCCCAGUCCCAUCAGCCGCAACCAGCUCAUCAAUGCGAGCUCUCGGGUGUGCACCCAUCCCGGUGUCGGUCCUCCACCUUCUUGCAUCCUUGGUAACGCUGAUAAAGGCGGUCCUGCUCCCGCUCUGCCACUGCCUGACAUCGCUGCCAUGAACAGGAUGCCUCUUUACCACAAUGACAUGAAGCAGCAUCAAUCCCAGCCACAGUUACCCCAGCAACAACGUCAGCAGGGCCCUUGGGGGCAACACCAGUUGGCACACCUUCAGCACCUUCCGGAGGGAGCGGCUCACCAGGGCAAGAAUCUCCCUAGAGAGGCCCUAGUUGGACCGGGGUUCCUCACCAAGAACAUGGGCUACCCGCAGGAGGUGUGCAUGGCACAGCCCUUCAACUUGAAGCCCUCAACUGAUAAACCAACACCAUCUCCUCCGGUCAACGGGAUGCACAUGAGUUACAGUAACGGCCACUACAUGCAGCCUCCCUGGAACAACAUCCUACCCACGCCAAACAGUGACAGCUCAGGGUCUCAAGACCUGGUGGGGCCGUUCCACGGGGGCCUUUCAGGGGCCUCCAUAGACUGCACCCCCGGAGCACAGUACAGGACCGGGGCAGCCAUUUCCAGUCAGACGAACCUGAUGCAGACCAUGGAGUACAUGGGCGGCGACUUCCAGGCGCCCUGCUUCCGAGCGCAGAAUCCUGGCACAAUGGCAAAGAUGCGUAGAGCAUCAGUCAGCAGGGCCACAGAUUCAGGUGAUAGUAGAAAUGUGCACAUCCACCACCCAGGGUACAGAUGAGCUGCUGCCAGUUGACGCUAGUCAGUGUUAUUCUGAGCGCAAGGAAAAAAAUUCCCCCUCUUCCCGUUUCGUUCUCAGUCUUGCAAGUGAUCUACUGAAUGUUUCCAGUACAAUGAUUUAUGUGGCUACCACAAAGCUGAACCCCCUUUUCUUUUAAUUUUAGUAGUUUAGAUUGCUUAAAUAAGUAGCUUUUGGAAAACGCUGUACGCAUUUAUUUAUUUUAGUUUGUUUAUUUGAAUAAUUUUUUGUCAUAAAAGCUUCAGUUUAUGAUAUCAGCACUGUUUUUUUCCAUUCCUAUCUGGUCUGUGUUAUACAAAUGAAAAAUGUACCACACAACACGCAUAUAUUUACUUUCUCUUUUUGAUUAGCAAAUGUCCAUUAUUUAAGAAAUUCCCAGCAAAUGCCAUUUGUAUGUAGUUUAGGCCUACUUGAGAUUUGAAGUACUAACUCAAUGAAGACAUUUAAGGGGUGCCAUGAUACUGAAAUAUUUGGCUGUUCCAUCUAAGCUAACAGCUUGUACAAUGUAUAGAGGUUGAUUUUAUUUUUGUUCCUCUCAAUGUUUACAUAUUGUGCUUUUUGUAACUAAUUCUGAAUCGAUAUGAAAGUGCAAACUGAUACUGGGAUAUGCACAUAUGACAAGACUGUUUCUUUUUCAGACUGUUGAACAUGAAUCAGGUUAAAGUCUUAGAUGGAAAUGUUACACUAGGGCUGAGUCAAGCCACAUUGUGUACAAUGUUAAUCCUUCCCUUGAAGUGUCAGCUAAUGCACUAUCCUUUUUAUUCCCUCUUUUUUUCUCGAUUAUCCUAUUAGAUUUCAGUUUAAAUGGAGACUGCUGUAAACUGAAAUUGCUUCGGGACUUGUGCUGUGCCCUAAUUGCAUAGAGUAGGGUUUUAUUUUGUCUCUCAAUUUAAUUGUUACUACUUGAAUUUCAUUGGAAAGAGACAGUGACGGCAGGCUUCGACUCACUACAGGACUUAAGUUUAGCAGCCGACCCAAAGCUACCUUUGGGAAGAGUGUCAUCAUCUGCUCGUGCGUUAGUCCAUCGUUAAAGGAAAGACGUGCUUGACCGUAAUUGGAUGACGGAAGUGUGUUGAAGUAAGCGCAAUAUAAAUGAGCACCACGGGCUAGCCUGUGGCUUUACUGCUGUGCUACUGUAUCUGAGAGGUGUGAUUAGCAGGUGUGAAUGCGUUGUGUUGGGGCGGAUUGGCUCACUGCUUUUGCUCCAUCAUUAACACCAUACCGCUCUUCCCUGGCGGGAUCACUUCCAUCUCCGUCACACGCUGUUGUGUCAGCUGAAGCCUGCCACUGCAUUUUCCUCCCACUUUAGGCACUUGAUGUGUCAUGUCGGUCUUAUCUAAAAUAGCUGAAAUGCACCGCCGGUGACAGUCUAAGUCUGUUCGACGGGAAAUAACCAAAACAAAAGACGCAUUUUAAGUUGAGUUGUUCUGUGAAUUCGAUAAUUGAUCCAUCCCAUGCUCCACGGUUUAACUCCCAUGGAGAGUUUCUCUCUUUCUCAGGUCUACCUGUGCCUCUUCUCAUGUUCUCCCUUGACUUUUACAUCGACUGAGUCUCUCCACCUUUAUCAGGGCAGGCCAUCUGGCAGUGGAGCAUGGGUAUUGUCAGACUUUGGUGGAGCAACUGCAGAUGAGCGAGUGGUGGAGCCGUGACUCCCAGUAUCAUAACCUCCCUGUUUGCCCCUCAGAAGCCUUAAAUAUUUUAUCCUUGAACUGUCCUUGACAAUAGGCAUGGUGUAGAAUAUAAAUUAAUGAUAUUUAGCUAAAUUUGUUUUUGUGAAACCGUAAAUCGGGGGAGCAAACUCCCGAAAGGAAGAGGUUUCUUUUGUAUUUAGCAAUGUAUGUGUAGUACUGGGCUGUAACAGUUUUGCAUUCACACCACAUCAUGUUAUGUUUCCCCACACUAGCAUCUUUAUUUGCUCCGUUUACCAUUGCAGCAAAACCUGUUCCAGUCCUUUCCCGUAAUGGGCGAACGCAUUCGUCAGAAACGCAAGCUCGUCUAAAAGGUUUGCGUAGAGGCUGAUGUUUUUCAAUAACACCAGGCCUAGUUUAAGUUCACGUCAGGAUACGUUGCCCAUGAAGCUGCUAUUUUAUUCCGACUACAAAAAGUUAUUUCUUAUAAAUGUUGUGAGGAUAGAGUUAAGAUCUAAUUUAUAUUAUGCCUUUUUUGCAAUGCAAUAUUGUUAAUAGGUUGAGCGUCGGGAGGCAUAAUAAGUUAUUCCAUUUGCCUGUCGACCAUGUCGUUGUAAAGCUUGAACGUUUAGACUUCCUGUAUUACUUUUGAUCCUCUUUUCAUGCCUUGUUACAGCUCAAGAGUACAAAGUCAGGUUACUCUUUUAAUAGUUACUAUCUCUAUGUGAAGUGCCUCCUCUGGGCUGAUGUGGACCGUGUGUAUGUGACCGUAGGGAUGGAAAAUGGACCGGCGCUAGUGCACAUUCCGUAGACGUAGUGCACUGCUCACGAACGGGGAACCGAGCUACUUUAAAAACUACUGAUAUCGUUCAGAAGAAAAAAUGAACACCGUGUACUGCUGCAGGUGUAAGAUCUGUUCAGAUUUGAAUAGUUGCUGCUGAAUCACUAGUUUAGGUGGCGAGAGCUACGCUGCUGAACUCCCUAGUGUCCUUGAAACAUUCGAAGGAAUGCUCUGGAAAGUUCUUUGUCUUUUGGAGCACAUGCACUCCUGCCCCCAUUACCCCCCUCCCUUCCUGCCCCUCUUCCCAAAACAACACAAUGGCAGUUUUGGACUACAGGAGUGUGUGUUAGGAGUUGAGUGUGUCUCAUCUUGUUCCACCAAAGAACAAAAUGUUACUUGAAUGGUAGCAGUGUGCACCUGUUUUGUGUAACCGAAAACUGUCAUUCCAGAUACACAUUUUUUCAGGAACGUGUUGCACAAACAUUCCCCUCUA
This is an RNA transcript of Sinocyclocheilus rhinocerous, 4951 nucleotides long. It is a transcript of the gene named family with sequence similarity 222 member Bb, with no coding region annotated. Lineage: Eukaryota; Metazoa; Chordata; Actinopteri; Cypriniformes; Cyprinidae. The record is from RefSeq and is a predicted model, not a curated record. The transcript is spliced from 4 exons.